This 265-nucleotide ribosomal RNA is filed under the name uncultured archaeon. RNAcentral's name for it is "partial 16S ribosomal RNA". It matches the Rfam family "Archaeal small subunit ribosomal RNA", at positions 717 to 982 of the family's 1478-position model. The record is from RNAcentral.
ACACGUCUACAUUAGAUACCCCUGUAGUCCCAGCCGUAAACUAUGCGCGUUAGGUGUAUCGGUGACCACGAGUCACCGAGGUGCCGAAGGGAAACCGUGAAACGUGCCGCCUGGGAAGUACGGUCGCAAGGCUGAAACUUAAAGGAAUUGGCGGGGGAGCACCACAACAGGUGGAGCCUGCGGUUUAAUUGGACUCAACGCCGGGAAGCUCACCGGAUAGGACAGCAGAAUGAUUGCCGGGCUGAAGACCCUGCAUGACUAGCUG